This 253-nucleotide ribosomal RNA is filed under the name uncultured bacterium. RNAcentral's name for it is "partial 16S ribosomal RNA". It matches the Rfam family "Bacterial small subunit ribosomal RNA", at positions 524 to 776 of the family's 1533-position model. The record is from RNAcentral.
UACGAAGGGGGCUAGCGUUGCUCGGAAUGACUGGGCGUAAAGGGCGCGUAGGCGGUUUGUACAGUCAGGUGUGAAAUUCCCGGGCUCAACCUGGGGGCUGCACUUGAUACGUAUGGACUGGAGUGGGGAAGAGGGUCGUGGAAUUCCCAGUGUAGAGGUGAAAUUCGUAGAUAUUGGGAAGAACACCGGUGGCGAAGGCGGCGAGCUGGUCCAUUACUGACGCUGAGGCGCGACAGCGUGGGGAGCAAACAGG